RNAcentral lists this ribosomal RNA (16 nucleotides) under Caloplaca cerina. Its description in RNAcentral is "partial 28S ribosomal RNA". Lineage: Eukaryota; Fungi; Ascomycota; Lecanoromycetes; Teloschistales; Teloschistaceae. The record is from RNAcentral. RNAcentral also lists the same sequence under 2 other names.
AUUGACCUCGGAUCAG